AGGAAUAUUGGACAAUGGACGCAAGUCUGAUCCAGCCAUGCCGCGUGAAGGAUGAAUGCCCUCUGGGUUGUAAACUUCUUUUAUAGGGGAAGAAGGAUACUUUUUUUAAGGUAGUUGACGGUACCCAAUGAAUAAGCACCGGCUAACUCCGUGCCAGCAGCCGCGGUAAUACGGAGGGUGCAAGCGUUAUCCGGAUUUACUGGGUUUAAAGGGUGCGUAGGCGGGCAUGUAAGUCAGUGGUGAACUACCGGAGCUUAACUUCGUAACUGCCAUU
Molecule: ribosomal RNA, 274 nt
Filed under: uncultured bacterium
Lineage: Bacteria
Description: partial 16S ribosomal RNA
Rfam family: Bacterial small subunit ribosomal RNA
Source: RNAcentral